This 585-nucleotide ribosomal RNA is filed under the name uncultured bacterium. RNAcentral describes it as "partial 16S ribosomal RNA". It matches the Rfam family "Bacterial small subunit ribosomal RNA", at positions 355 to 1375 of the family's 1533-position model. The record is from RNAcentral.
UGGGGAAUUUUGGACAAUGGGCGAAAGCCUGAUCCAGCAAUGCCGCGUGUGUGAAGAAGGCCUUCGGGUUGUAAAGCACUUUUGUCCGGAAAGAAAUCCUUGGCUCUAAUACAGUCGGGGGAUGACGGUACCGGAAGAAUAAGCACCGGCUAACUACGUGCCAGCAGCCGCGGUAAUACGUAGGGUGCAAGCGUUAAUCGGAAUUACUGGGCGUAAAGCGUGCGCAGGUGGUUUGCUAAGACCGAUGUGAAAUCCCCGGGCUCAACCUGGGAACUGCAUUGGUGACUGGCAGGCUAGAGUAUGGCAGAGGGGGGUAGAAUUCCACGUGUAGCAGUGAAAUGCGUAGAGAUGUGGAGGGAUACCGAUGGCGAAGGCAGCCCCCUGGGCCAAUACUGACGCUCAUGCACGAAAGCGUGGGGAGCAAACAGGAUUAGAUACCCUGGUAGUCCACGCCCUAAACGAUGUCAACUAGUUGUUGGGGAUUCAUUUCCUUAGUAACGUAGCUAACGCGUGAAGUUGACCGCCUGGGGAGUACGGUCGCAAGAUUAAAACUUAAAGGAAUUGACGGGGUCAUAGCUGUUUCCU